RNAcentral lists this ribosomal RNA (466 nucleotides) under uncultured bacterium. Its description in RNAcentral is "partial 16S ribosomal RNA". It matches the Rfam family "Bacterial small subunit ribosomal RNA", at positions 28 to 507 of the family's 1533-position model. The record is from RNAcentral.
GACGAACGCUGGCGGCGUGCUUAACACAUGCAAGUCGAACGGAAAGGCCCUGCUUGCAGGGUACUCGAGUGGCGAACGGGUGAGUAACACGUGGGUGAUCUGCCCUGCACUUCGGGAUAAGCUUGGGAAACUGGGUCUAAUACCGGAUAGGAACCAUCUUUAGUGUGGUGGUUGGAAAGUUUUUUCGGUGUAGGAUGAGCUCGCGGCCUAUCAGCUUGUUGGUGGGGUAAUGGCCUACCAAGGCGGCGACGGGUAGCCGGCCUGAGAGGGUGUACGGCCACAUUGGGACUGAGAUACGGCCCAGACUCCUACGGGAGGCAGCAGUGGGGAAUAUUGCACAAUGGGCGCAAGCCUGAUGCAGCGACGCCGCGUGGGGGAUGAAGGCCCUCGGGUUGUAAACUCCGUUCGCUAGGGACGAAGCUUUGUUGUGACGGUACCUAGAUAAGAAGCACCGGCUAACUACGUG